CCUGGUGGCUCAGAUGGUAAAGCGUCUGCCUGCAAUGCGGGAGACCCGGGUUCGAUUCCUGGGUCAGGA
Molecule: transfer RNA, 69 nt
Filed under: Capra hircus (goat)
Lineage: Eukaryota; Metazoa; Chordata; Mammalia; Artiodactyla; Bovidae
Also listed under: 1 other name
Rfam family: tRNA
About the family: Transfer RNA (tRNA) molecules are approximately 80 nucleotides in length.
Source: Rfam by way of RNAcentral